This 253-nucleotide ribosomal RNA is filed under the name uncultured bacterium. RNAcentral's name for it is "partial 16S ribosomal RNA". It matches the Rfam family "Bacterial small subunit ribosomal RNA", at positions 524 to 776 of the family's 1533-position model. The record is from RNAcentral.
UACGUAGGGUCCAAGCGUUAAUCGGAAUUACUGGGCGUAAAGCGUGCGCAGGCGGUUCGCAAAGUCAGGUGUGAAAUCCCCGGGCUUAACCUGGGAACUGCGCUUGUAACUAGCGGGCUAGAGUACGGCAGAGGGGGGUGGAAUUCCACGUGUAGCAGUGAAAUGCGUAGAGAUGUGGAGGAACACCGAUGGCGAAGGCAGCCCCCUGGGCUAGUACUGACGCUCAUGCACAAAAGCGUGGGGAGCAAACAGG